GAAAGCCACGGCUAACUACGUGCCAGCAGCCGCGGUAAUACGUAGGUGGCAAGCGUUGUCCGGAUUUAUUGGGCGUAAAGCGCGCGCAGGUGGUUUCUUAAGUCUGAUGUGAAAGCCCACGGCUCAACCGUGGAGGGUCAUUGGAAACUGGGAGACUUGAGUGCAGAAGAGGAAAGUGGAAUUCCAAGUGUAGCGGUGAAAUGCGUAGAGAUUUGGAGGAACACCAGUGGCGAAGGCGACUUUCUGGUCUGUAACUGACACUGAGGCGCGAAAGCGUGGGGAGCAAACAGGAUUAGAUACCCUGGUAGUCCACGCCGUAAACGAUGAGUGCUAAGUG
This 337-nucleotide ribosomal RNA is filed under the name Viridibacillus sp. RNAcentral's name for it is "bacterial SSU rRNA". It matches the Rfam family "Bacterial small subunit ribosomal RNA", at positions 486 to 822 of the family's 1533-position model. The record is from RNAcentral. Lineage: Bacteria; Bacillati; Bacillota; Bacilli; Caryophanales; Caryophanaceae.